Molecule: ribosomal RNA, 444 nt
Filed under: uncultured Leptolinea sp.
Lineage: Bacteria; Bacillati; Chloroflexota; Anaerolineae; Anaerolineales; Anaerolineaceae
Description: bacterial SSU rRNA
Rfam family: Bacterial small subunit ribosomal RNA
Source: RNAcentral
ACAAGCAGCGGAGCGUGUGGUUUAAUUCGAUGCUACACGAAGAACCUUACCAGGGUUUGACAUGCAAGUGGUAGGAAACCGAAAGGCGACCGACCCUUCGGGGAGCUUGCACAGGUGCUGCAUGGCUGUCGUCAGCUCGUGUCGUGAGAUGUUCGGUUAAGUCCGCUAACGAGCGCAACCCUCGCUGUGUGUUACAAGUGUCACACGGUACUGCCGGUCUUAAGCCGGAGGAAGGUGGGGAUGACGUCAAGUCAGCAUGGCCUUUAUGUCCUGGGCUACACACACGCUACAAUGGCCAACACAAUAGGUUGCUAAGCCGCGAGGUGGAGCCAAUCCUCAAAGUUGGUCUCAGUUCAGAUUGCAGGCUGCAACCCGCCUGCAUGAAGAUGGAGUUGCUAGUAACCGCAGGUCAGCUAUACUGCGGUGAAUACGUUCCCGGGGCUU